GGUGGGACAGCGGGAGUGUGUCAGUAGAACCAUGCCGACGGAGGGACGAUUUCAUCAGUGUCGGAUCCCUUCGGUCUCGCGAACCGUGUCUCCGUCCCUCGCGCCGGGCCCCGCCAAGUUCGAACCUAACCUGAAAUUCGGACCCUUUCCGACCUGGAUCUCGCCCCGCGGAACUCAUGCCUGGUUUGCUGGAUCAGGAGCCUGUGCGAGUGAUACAAUCAGCUGUGGAACUCUCUCUCUCUCGUCGGUGAGAGAAACAUAAUCGUGGCCAGUUAAAAGAAAUUAGAAUGAAAAUUUGGCUCAACACCCGGCCUUAUUUGAUAAAUGAAAUUAUGAAUUUUUAAAAUUUACAUCCAGAGCUGCCCGCGAGCUAAUCUCUCUCACCCGCUUUCAAUUUUACAUUUAAUCACCAGUUUGACGUUAACUGCAACAACAACGUACCAACGUACGUACAAGAGAACACAAGUGGCGCCUAAUCACCUUCAAUUUGUCGUGAUGCUGAUGUAAAGCUCAUGUGUUGAAUCUUUAAAUUUAAGCAAUAAUGUAGGUCAGUUCUAUCCUACCUACGGUGGUCCUAAGUGGUUUGGAGGUAGGACCAAGAAUACAGAACCACAGACUAAAUAAGGGUUCUUGACUCUGAGUCUUAAAUGCCCGCCGGGAAAACAAAUCAGAAUCGGAGCGCGUGGAUUCCUGCAAAUUUAGUGUGAAGGUGACCGGUUUGUAGUUCAUUUUAGAUCCGAACAAGGAUUCAAAGUGCCGAGGCUUUGAGACUCAUCGAAAACUCACUUAAAAAUCCAAGCGUGGAAAUUAUAGCCAGUGUUGUACCUAUUGCCGGAACCAGUUUAUCGCUGAAUUUUUGUUGGAAUAAGUUUACUUACCUCCAAAGCUUUCAAGAACGUUUGAUAAAAAAUUCAGAAAAAAUCCAGCAGAUUUAGCACAUACGUGCAGGAGUUAAUCGCUAAAUUUUUGUCUAAAUUUCGAGGCUGAAAAGAAAACAAAGAUCUAAGAGUGUGAAUACCUGUUGAUGGACCAAUUUUUUAUUAGAUCUUCAACUGAUUAAGAAUUUACUGUGAGGCAUUCAGGCUCUUAGAUAACAUAAUUUCAGAAUCCUAGCAAGAGUAUUUGAGCCGACUAAGCGUGACUAGGUGGUGGUUACGAUACCUGAUAAGUAAAAGUGAGGCGAAUAUGAGUGCGACGCGUUGGUUUUAAUCGCG
Molecule: long non-coding RNA, 1214 nt
Filed under: Bemisia tabaci
Lineage: Eukaryota; Metazoa; Arthropoda; Insecta; Hemiptera; Aleyrodidae
Description: lncRNA ENSSSA2NGG001308
Source: RNAcentral